AUGGCCGAAAUUCGGCCGAAAUUCGUUUUUUUGGCCGAAAAUCAAAACACAGCCUACGAGUAUGAUGUCGUGGUGCUGUGCGCUUUGGGAGGAGCCUGCAACCACCACGCCUGCCAUGAGGGCCCCUUCCUCGUGGUAUACGUAGGCAUCAAAGUCAUGACAACGGCAAUAAGCGCCUGCGUGUACUCGUCUGACACGGGCAAAUGGAGCGCGCAGACUUCUGCGUACAUCCAGAAAAAGAGUUUGAGUUGUGUAGUCAGUACUGCCAUUGUCGGAGGUGCACUCUAUUUCCUCUGCUCUGAUUACGGUACGAAUCACCAUGAAAUUCUCAAGUACGACUGGAGCAGGCAUUGCCUAUCAGUGAUUGACAUGCCGCAUUGGGUUAAUUCUGGUCCUUCCUGCUGUCCCCUUCUUCCGGCACCGGAGGAGGGUAGGCUGGGAUUUGCCCAACUGAUAACGUACUACGGUACCCAACCGAGAGCCCUCCUCCGCAUGUGUUCGAGGGUCGUGAAUGCCGAUGGGGACGGCUCUCCUUUUGUCUUCUAUGAGAUUGAUCUCAAGUCCCUACAGACGAGGAAAUUGUAUGAAGGAAAAGGAGAAGGAAGAAUCACCCAUAAUAUCUUCCCCUUCAUGAGCUUCUACACUCCAGCAGCAAUACUUGCUUCGGUGGGAGAAACGGCGACCGUUGUUAGCAGACCAGUGCCGCGCAAAAGCAAGAGGAAGAGGAAACACAACCUGAAGGUGAUGGGCCCAGAUUGGCUGAAUAAGCCCAACUCUCUGAUCAUGCUGCUGUCCGUAUGUGAACCCGCAGUGUGCUUCCAGUGUCGUAAUCAAUUUCAUGGUUUCUGCUAUGAGCUUCAUGUGUCUUGA
RNAcentral lists this ribosomal RNA (870 nucleotides) under Triticum aestivum (bread wheat). RNAcentral describes it as "partial small subunit ribosomal RNA". Lineage: Eukaryota; Viridiplantae; Streptophyta; Magnoliopsida; Poales; Poaceae. The record is from RNAcentral.